AUGGAGCCCUUCAAAGCGCGUCCAUCGAGGGCUUCCUGGGCCAUAGGCGCUCCUACUCAGACCCAAGAGCCACAGCACGCGCCUAGGAACCUGGGCUCCGCCUGGCCUCGCCGGCUCUGUUCUCGGAACAAACAGGAACUGGGCUCAAACCCUGGCCAUCGUGUGACCUUGGCCAUGUCCCGGGCUGCGGGCCUCAGUUUCCUGGUCCUUGCGACCCCGAGACAGGAGGCCUCGGAGGCGGAGCAAGAAGCGUGGCUUCCUGGAGAGCCCGCGUUGCGGGCCGGACUUCCGGGAGCUCGCCCUGGCCACUCUGGGGCUUGGUGGGAGGGUGGCCAGACAGACGCCCUCCCCGGCCCCGACUCAGCCCCCGCCCCAGCUCGGCCCCGACUCGACCCCCAUCCCAGCCUAGACCCCUGGCCCCGCAUUCCGCACCCACCCUACCCCGCCCCGCCUAGGUCCCCAGCCCAGCCUGAAGCCCCAGCCCGGCCUAGUCUCGCCUCAACCCCCGGCCUCUAUUCUACCCUGGGCCCGCCGGGCCUUGGCUCCCCACCUCGACUCCGCCUCGCCUCGGCCCCCGGCCCGGCCUCACCUCGGCUCUCACCUCGACCCUCGCCCGGCCUGGCCUCACCUCAGCCCCUGUCUCGGCCCUCACCGCCCCGGCUCAGCCUCGCGCUGGGCCUCAACUCGGCCCCCGCCCCCGCCUCGGCCCCAGCCCAGCCUCACCCUCGGCGGCCGCGGCGCAGAUGCUGCUCGGAGGCAGGCGUUGGUUUCGCUCCCACAAGAUGGCGGCUCUGACGGCGGCCACGUCAGUGCCUGCUGCCGCGGGGGACGCUGGGGAACGGGGCAGUCCCCCCCGCAGUCCCACCCACUCGCCCUUUGCUGUGCGCACGCGCAGACUCUGUGCGGGAGGUAGGGACAGGACCUUGGGUAGGCGACGCCUCGCUCACCGCUGCGCUUGCGCGCGCCCCCCGCGUCCCCAGCGCGCCUAGCCCAGGCAGAGUCCGGCUGCGCCUGCGUGCGCCUGUCGGUGAUCUGCCCGGGGGUGAGUUCUCAAGCCCAUUUGGCAGAUGCAGAGACUGAGUCCCAGGCGGUCCCUGCGGUCCUGGGGCGGCGGUUCUGGGUGCCAACUCCCCUCUCCAGCCUCAGGGACUGGAGGGACCGCAGGGACACACGCUGUCCUGUGCGCGGUCGUGGAGCGACCUGGAGAAGCAAGAGUCAAGAUCAAAUGGAGAAGGCAUCUAGUAGCACGGGUGGAGCAAGUGCUCCAGGGAACAGUGCUGCCCUGGGGUGCCACCUGAGCGGGAUCCAGGUGACACAGGGGAGCCCUCCUCUGGGAAGCCUCCCUAAGCUGAUCAGAAGGGAGAGGGGCCUACUGUGGUCGCUCUCCACAUUCUCCAGGCUCGGGCCUUACUGUGGCCCCCUGCUUGGGAACUCUCUGUGGCCUGCCGACGUGAGCCCCAUACCAUCACUCCACUCCUGCGCUACUUGAACUCUCUCCUGUACUAUCCUCCAGCUGCUGUGAUGGGAGGCAUAGGUGAGAUUGCUGGGGCAGCCUUCACUCACUAUCUUGCAUGUGGUGGAGAACACGAAGCAGGUCAUCACCUGGGCCUUGGUCUAGGGGUCUGCCUCUUGGUCCAGGGACCUCUCUCCUGUACUCCCCACCUACCCACUCCUCUUGGGGCCUCCUUACAGCGCUGGGGUGGCUGGGACCUCACCAGCUCUCCCUGGGGCUGCCCACUACCCCCCAGGCAGCCCUCCUGCACCAAACACUGAUGACCUCCUCUUCCGAGAGGCUGAGGGCCCUAGAUCUUGGGAGGCAGACGCUUGCUUUGAGCUGCAGCCUCCCCAGCCCUCAUCAUUUAUGGAAGACCUAGCCUGUGCUCCACACCUCAGCUUCUGCCUCCUCAUUGCUGUAAACACAUCACAGUGCUCACUCAACGUGCCCUCAGGGUUUUGUGUCUCCAGAGAGGGGCACAGAACCUUCUGGUGCUACUGGUUCUCUUCCCUAGAGAACUGACCCACAGCUGCUGCUACUGCUAAGUCACUUCAGUCGUGUCCGACUCUGUGCGACCCCAUAGAUGGCAGCCCACCAGGCUCCCCCAUCCCUGGGAUUCUCCAGGCAAGAACACUGGAGUGGGUUGCCAUGUCCUUCUCCAAUGCAUGAAAGUGAAAAGUGAAAGUGAAGUCUUUCAGUCGUGUCCGACUCUUAGCUACCCCAUGGACUGCAGCCUACCAGGCUCCUCCAUCCACGGGAUUUUCCAGGCAAGAGUACUGGAGUGGGGUGCCAUUGCCUUCUCCAGACCCACAGCUGAAUGCCUGCAAAUGAUUGUGUCCUCAGGAGCGUCCUUAAAUAGACAGGAAGGAGCAUGUGCAAGAUACAUACACAGUUUUAAAAAUAAGGUGGAUUGCUAUGUAAACCCGAGGUUACCGAAUUUACCUUCUUCCUAAUUCUUUUCUCCUGGUCUUGGGAAAAGAGGGUGUCUUCAGACCAGACAGGUAUGGGGGCCCAGGGUGGGCACAUCAGGGGAAGAAUCCCUGCCCCAGGCAGGAGAUGUUAGAGAGCCAGGAGGUACUAGGCAAUUGCCUAGGGAAAAUGAGGCCCCAGUGCCCACCAGGACCUCCCUGUCCCCUUUCCAGGGAUGGAAAAGCUGUGUACCUGCCCAGCUUUGGCCAGGAGAGGGCAGAGUGAGCCCGCUAGAGGGCCUGCCAGCAUCCAUGGCCACAGCCAUUUUCAGGUUCAAAGCCCCCAGCCCAGAUCCUCACCUUCAGCUUGAGCUAGAGCGGAAGUCUGGGACUAAGUUUCUCCCCUCUUGGGGGGGUCCCUGAGUCCAAAGACAAGAUCAGACACAGGGAUGCUGAACCCUGGGAAGGGUGGUUAGAGGGACAGAAGUGCCAGAAAGAGCAAAAGAGCCAAGGCAGGAGGGAGAGGGAAUAUGAGUACACCCUCUAAGCCCCCCAGCCUGCUAAGUACCUCAUGCAGCUUCUAUGUGUGGCACCUGUGAAGCGGGCAACAUUUAUGCCAGGCUAGUGGCAGUCAGAGAGGCUGCAAGCCCACCCAAGGUCACACAGUUAAAACUGAGCCCCUGGAUCUCGGAUCUUAGCGUGUUUGCUGCCAGCGUCUCUUCCUCUGUCCCCACCCUGCCUCUGAAGACAUUGGAGCUUCAGUGAAUCUGUAGGUUGCAACAUUAUCUUGGGUUCCUCCAGUGAUGGGGAGCUCAGUACUUACUAAGGCACUCAACACCCAGGACCCAGUUGCAGAACUGUAUCCUCUUAAAAAACUUCUUGGGAUGGUGGGGGGAUUGGGGUGUCUCUGCCUACUUGCCCUCCCCUGGUGAGCUGGCCUCUAAAGAACCCCUGGGCCCAGAGGGGACCCUGAGACAGGUUUCUGUCCCAGAUACGGGUGGGAUGUAGAGAGGGCCCAAUCCUUCCCUCUACUCAGCUCAGAGCCCUUCUUCUCUAGGACCCGCCCCCAAAGCCCUCUCUCCUAUGUGUCUCUCCGGUGCAGGCUUCAGGGAUUAUGCCAGCUGUUCUGGUGGUGUGGGUCCUGGGAUGGCACCUGCAUGCCCUCCAUGCUCAUGCCUGUUUUCCUGCCCCAUCCCCACGCCAUUCUGCCCCUUGUCCUGGGCCUGGGUUGGAGUCUGGGGACAGCUAGGUUAUGUCAGAAGCCUGUGUUUGGCAUGGGGGUGAGCCCACCGAGAGCCGCACAGCGGUCAAGGGUCAGUGGGAGGACCAUGGCCCCGUUCCAUGCCUAUGAGUGGGCUGACUCUGGGGCCUCUCCACCUUGAGACUCUUUGAGCGUACCCACUCCUGCCUCAGUGUCCGCAUAUCAUGCAGGCUCCUCCCUUCCCUGCAUCCUCUCUCUGGCCCAGCUUACAGGAACAGCCCAGGACCAUUCCCUACCCAGGGCUUUUCUCCCUCUUCCUGGUCACUGUCUGGGAAUGUGCAGUUCUUGAACACUCGUCUUGGCUCUCCUGGGCAUGGCAGUGCUGUCUAGAAGGCCAGCUUCACUGGGAAAGAUGCUUCUUACCUGGUUCUUGGUCUCACUUCAUGCCUGGGCAGACGAUAGGUAAGGCGAGUCCAGGGAGUGCUUCUCAGUGAGCUUUGCGCUGGGAUGCCAAAAAGCACGUCUUUUUAGGACCCUCUGACUGACAUUUACCAUCCCCUCCCAGUUUGAAUAUAGGUGACGUUCCCAAAUAGCGGUAUGCACUGGACCUAUGAUGUUGUCAGCAACAGAAACCUCAAGGCAGUUUUAUGUCCUGUCAUGGCCAUUGCAGGAACCAUAAAAUCUUGUUUCUGUCCCCUGCUCCACUGAGAUUACAGUGGUUGUCAGGCUGCAGCUAGCGUUUUCAUCUCUAGCGCUGGCAACGGAGGCUGACGGAAACGACAGCCCUGCAUUCCGCGCCCGCUUCUGCACAACACUUCAGUCCCACGUCUGCCAGCAUUGUGGAGCUGAACGCAGUCAGAAGGGCAUGCUGGAUGUACGCAGUCUGGAAAGUGCUAACUGCACUCGGUACAUUUUGGAAACCAUCAUCCUGGUCGAGAUCAUAGAAACCUGUUGCCCCUGAAGUCACAUGCCACAAAAAUCUUAAAACUUUUGAUAACUGGGUCUGUUUCUGAUGGUGCAUCAUUUAUGCUGCUGCUGCUGCUGCUAAGUCUCUUCAGUUGUGUCCGACUCUGUGCGACCCCAUAGACGGCAGCCCACCAGGCUCCCCCGUCCCUGGGAAAAAUCAUUUAUGUUAGGUAGUAAUAAAACGGUAUUCUGAGAAGAAGCUCAUGGACUUCCCUAGCCUGCUAGGGGGUCCCUGGUGCCUACACAACCUCCCCGCUCUAACUUCUAGAUGAGGUCAGUAGGGGAGGGAGAGAGGCCCCACUUGGGGAUGGCAGGGGACCAGCAGAGAUAUCCGACAUGGAAUUUGAGGGGCAGGAAGACCCCAGUGACUCAGGCACUUUCCGUGGUGGUCACUGCAGUCUGGCUGGAGGCCAGGAAGCCAGCAGGAGGAGAUCAUCGGGACCAGGCUGACCAGGGUGUGGAGCCAUGGCACUCAGCAAGCUGAUGGGGAGGGGAGGGAGGGAGGAGGGGCAUCCCUCAUGGGUCUGGGCACAGAUUGUAUCAUAGACUGUGAGGGGGCCUGCAGCCCUCGUCUCCACCUGGACCAAGCUGUUCUCUUGGGACUCACCCUCAGGUUUGAGAGGGCUGGUGUCUGUUCCUCUCUCUGGGGGGCCCUUCUCCCCCUUUAAACCCCCAGACAGAGAACAGCAGGAGGGAGGGACCCAACCUGUCUUGGGAGGCAUCUGAUGAAUUCAGGGUUUCAAAAACCCUGGGAAAGGGAAAAGAUUGUUGGUCCCUGAAUGGCACCCCACUCCAGUACUCUUGCCGGGAAGGUCGCAUGGAUGGAAGAGCCUGGUGGGCUGCAGUCCACGGAAUCGCUAGGAGUCGGACACGACCGAGAGACUUCACUUUCACUUUUCCCUUUCAUGCAUUGGAGAAGGAAAUGGCAACCCACUCCAGUGCUCUUGCCUGGAGAAUCC
RNAcentral lists this long non-coding RNA (5529 nucleotides) under Bos grunniens (domestic yak). Its description in RNAcentral is "lncRNA (ENSBGRG00000003078.1)". Lineage: Eukaryota; Metazoa; Chordata; Mammalia; Artiodactyla; Bovidae. The record is from RNAcentral.